GAUGAAAUUCUAAUGUUUACCAGGAACCACUUGACAGUCCUUCAACAACUUUUUUGUUCAAAGUGUUGAAGGAACGUUGGUCAAUAUGACUGAUGCAGAGCAGGAAAACAACCUUUUUGAAAAUUUUCAACAGGCAGAUUGAAGUGAUAAUGAUGCUGAGAUGACUUGAGCAGCAAAAGUUUGGGUGCAAU
Molecule: long non-coding RNA, 191 nt
Organism: Pocillopora damicornis (cauliflower coral)
Lineage: Eukaryota; Metazoa; Cnidaria; Anthozoa; Scleractinia; Pocilloporidae
Source: RefSeq, a predicted model, not a curated record